GUCUGUGGUCAUACCACCCUCAAUGUGCCCAGUCUCAUCUGAUCUCGGAAGCUAAGCAGGGUUAGGCCUGGUUAGCAUUUGGAUGGGAGAAAUUAUUAUGUUUCCUGUAAUCUUAAACU
This 119-nucleotide ribosomal RNA is filed under the name Propithecus coquereli (Coquerel's sifaka). The record is from RNAcentral. Lineage: Eukaryota; Metazoa; Chordata; Mammalia; Primates; Indriidae.